RNAcentral lists this ribosomal RNA (630 nucleotides) under Triticum aestivum (bread wheat). RNAcentral describes it as "partial small subunit ribosomal RNA". The record is from RNAcentral. Lineage: Eukaryota; Viridiplantae; Streptophyta; Magnoliopsida; Poales; Poaceae.
AUGGAGGGCGUCAGGGCGGAGGAGGUGGGCCACCUCCUCCGCUCCAUCGCAGCCUCGGACGGCGCCGUCGUCAACGUCAGCGAGAAGGUGUCGGCGCUCAGCAACUCCGUCGCGUCGCGCGCAUUUUUCGGCGGCAAGCUGGCGCAGCAGGACGUGUACCUGCGGGAGUUCCACCAAGUCAUGGAGCUGAUGGGAGGCUUCUGCCUCGUCGACCUCUUCCCGUCGUCCCGGUUGGUGCGGUGGCUGAGCAACGGCGAGCGCCGCAUGAAGAAGAGCUACGGCAGCAUCCGACGCAUCAUCGAGGACGUCAUCGAGAGGCGCAAGGCUGAGCGCCUCGCCGGUGGCACCGAAGACGAGGGCCUGCUGGACGCGCUGCUCAGGAUGCAGGAGGACUCGUUAGUAUCACCGCUAACCACAGACGCAAUAGGCACCAUCUUAUUUGACAUACUUGGAGCUGCCACGGAAAAUGGUGAUGCAUGUCGACAUACUUGUGCCAUGAAGCAUCACAUUGUAUCUUUAUGCAUUAGAAUAAGGGAGACACGUUGCAUAGAACAACAUCUUCUAUCAACGUGGUCAAGCAUGGAUUAUCAUAUUUUGUUCUUUGCCUUUGCAAUGUUGAAUAAAGCAUAA